ACGAACGCUGGCGGCAGGCUUAACACAUGCAAGUCGAGCGCCCCGCAAGGGGAGCGGCAGACGGGUGAGUAACGCGUGGGAAUCUACCCUUGACUACGGAAUAACGCAGGGAAACUUGUGCUAAUACCGUAUGUGUCCUUCGGGAGAAAGAUUUAUCGGUCAAGGAUGAGCCCGCGUUGGAUUAGCUAGUUGGUGGGGUAAAGGCCUACCAAGGCGACGAUCCAUAGCUG
This 230-nucleotide ribosomal RNA is filed under the name Rhizobium sp. ISOM344_OTU202. RNAcentral describes it as "partial 16S ribosomal RNA". It matches the Rfam family "Bacterial small subunit ribosomal RNA", at positions 29 to 289 of the family's 1533-position model. The record is from RNAcentral. Lineage: Bacteria; Pseudomonadati; Pseudomonadota; Alphaproteobacteria; Hyphomicrobiales; Rhizobiaceae.